GGUUAAGCGACUAAGCGUACACGGUGGAUGCCCUGGCAGUCAGAGGCGAUGAAGGACGUGCUAAUCUGCGAUAAGCGUCGGUGAGGUGAUAUGAACCGUUAUAACCGGCGAUUUCCGAAUGGGGAAACCCAGUGUGUUUCGACACACUAUCAUUAACUGAAUCCAUAGGUUAAUGAGGCGAACCGGGGGAACUGAAACAUCUAAGUACCCCGAGGAAAAGAAAUCAACCGAGAUUCCCCCAGUAGCGGCGAGCGAACGGGGAGGAGCCCAGAGCCUGAAUCAGUGUGUGUGUUAGUGGAAGCGUCUGGAAAGGCGUGCGAUACAGGGUGACAGCCCCGUACACAAAAAUGCACAUAUUGUGAGCUCGAUGAGUAGGGCGGGACACGUGGUAUCCUGUCUGAAUAUGGGGGGACCAUCCUCCAAGGCUAAAUACUCCUGACUGACCGAUAGUGAACCAGUACCGUGAGGGAAAGGCGAAAAGAACCCCGGCGAGGGGAGUGAAAAAGAACCUGAAACCGUGUACGUACAAGCAGUGGGAGCCUCUUAAUGGGGUGACUGCGUACCUUUUGUAUAAUGGGUCAGCGACUUAUAUUCUGUAGCAAGGUUAACCGAAUAGGGGAGCCGAAGGGAAACCGAGUCUUAACUGGGCGUUAAGUUGCAGGGUAUAGACCCGAAACCCGGUGAUCUAGCCAUGGGCAGGUUGAAGGUUGGGUAACACUAACUGGAGGACCGAACCGACUAAUGUUGAAAAAUUAGCGGAUGACUUGUGGCUGGGGGUGAAAGGCCAAUCAAACCGGGAGAUAGCUGGUUCUCCCCGAAAGCUAUUUAGGUAGCGCCUCGUGAAUUCAUCUCCGGGGGUAGAGCACUGUUUCGGCAAGGGGGUCAUCCCGACUUACCAACCCGAUGCAAACUGCGAAUACCGGAGAAUGUUAUCACGGGAGACACACGGCGGGUGCUAACGUCCGUCGUGAAGAGGGAAACAACCCAGACCGCCAGCUAAGGUCCCAAAGUCAUGGUUAAGUGGGAAACGAUGUGGGAAGGCCCAGACAGCCAGGAUGUUGGCUUAGAAGCAGCCAUCAUUUAAAGAAAGCGUAAUAGCUCACUGGUCGAGUCGGCCUGCGCGGAAGAUGUAACGGGGCUAAACCAUGCACCGAAGCUGCGGCAGCGACACUAUGUGUUGUUGGGUAGG
Molecule: ribosomal RNA, 1189 nt
Filed under: Escherichia coli
Lineage: Bacteria; Pseudomonadati; Pseudomonadota; Gammaproteobacteria; Enterobacterales; Enterobacteriaceae
Description: partial 23S ribosomal RNA
Rfam family: Bacterial large subunit ribosomal RNA
Source: RNAcentral